GAUGAACGCCGGCGGUGUGCCUAAUACAUGCAAGUCGAACGCGUUGGCCCAAACUGAUUGAACGUGCUUGCACGGACUUGACGUUGGUUUACCAGCGAGUGGCGGACGGGUGAGUAACACGUAGGUAACCUGCCCCAAAAGCGGGGAUAACAUUUGGAAACAGAUGCUAAUACCGCAUAACAAUUUGAAUCGCAUGAUUCAAAUUUAAAAAGAUGGUUUCGGCUAUCACUUUUGGGAUGGACCUGCGGCGCAUUAGCUUGUGGUAGGUAACGGCCUACCAAGGCUGUGAUGCGUAGCCGAGUUGAGAGACUGAUCGGCCACAA
RNAcentral lists this ribosomal RNA (323 nucleotides) under uncultured bacterium. Its description in RNAcentral is "bacterial SSU rRNA". It matches the Rfam family "Bacterial small subunit ribosomal RNA", at positions 28 to 313 of the family's 1533-position model. The record is from RNAcentral.